CUGAAGAGAUUUGAAGGCGAGUGGCCUUUGUCACAUGGUCUGUGUGCCUCCAGCCCCAGAGUGAGCCGCUUGACCCUCAGAGUCUCUGAUCAGCUGGUGCUCAGAUGGGCACCUAGGGGCUCCGUGGAAGAAACCCAGCGAGACAAGGCUCCUCCUGGGACAAAGCCUGUGCAGGACCACUACCCAUGGCCAGAAAAGACCACAAGAAAGAGAGCAUGAUCCCAUCAAUGAGCAAGAGCAUUUGUCCCAGAAGUCCAGUGCCUCCCCCACAAAGAGCCCCUCUGGAGGAAGCCGCCUGCUGUGAGGGCCCAGGAGAGAAAUCCACAGCUGUAUAGAAGCUAUGAUGAGCCAAUGGAGUAUGAAGAGGACCAGAACCAGCACUGAGCCACAACAGUGAGGGAACCUGGGCCCUGGUGCUACAAAGCCACCAUCUUUGCUUGUAUUGCCUCAUCCAGCCCCACUGAUGGAGAAACCAUUGACCCUGAUUCAGUUCCUCCCAUGGUCACUCAUGUUCCCUGCAGUACAGUGGCCCUGGUGUCUUUGGGGAUCAUCACUUGGACUCAGCCGCAGAAGGAAAGCACAUUGCCAAAGCCUAAACUUGAGCAGACCAAACACCCCACACAAGCCAGUUCCAGGAUGGGUAUUGGAGCCAGGAAGGGAGAAGAAAACCCAGCCCUUUCCCACCUAUGAAGUUGCACAGGCGUGAACUGCUGUCAUCCUCUUGUGGAGCAGAGAGAGAGAGAGAGAGAGAGAGAGAGAGAGAGAGAGAGAGAGAGAGAGAGAGAGAGACCCUGGCAAUACAGAGAAAGCUAGGGAGAGUGAUAGGGAAGCCGAGGAGCUGUUGACAUCCUCCAGCAAAUUCUCUCUUUGCUGUGCAACCAAUUUUCCACCCAUCUGAACCAAAACUGUCCUACCACUUGCAUGUUGGGGCAUGCCACAUCUACUUUCAGUCAUGAGACCAGCUCACCUCUGAGGGCUGCCCCUGGCUGGUUUACCUGGGCUGGGCUGUCACCUGCUAUGAACCCCACUCACCUAGGACAGCAAGAAAGGCUUUGUGGGGGCUGGAGAGAUAACUCACAGAUUAAAACACUGACUGCUCCUGCAGAGGACCCAGGUUCAGUUCCCGGCACCCAUACUGCAGCUCACCACCCUUUAUAACUCCGGUUCCAGAGGAUCUGAUGCCCUCUUCUGGUCUCCAUGUGCACCAGGCACGCACAUGGUGCACAGACU
Molecule: long non-coding RNA, 1230 nt
Organism: Peromyscus leucopus (white-footed mouse)
Lineage: Eukaryota; Metazoa; Chordata; Mammalia; Rodentia; Cricetidae
Exons: 3
Source: RefSeq, a predicted model, not a curated record